CUGCUCAGAAUUCUCCAAUGGCCCUCUCUUACCCUCAGGGGAAAAAGCUAAGCUCCUCACCUGUGUCCUGCCAAGGUCACCAGUCUCAUCUUAUGCCACCCCACUGCUGCCUCCUACAAGGUGCCUGAGUGUUUCUCAUCAACAACAGCUGGGCCUUUUGUGUUUUCUCAAGAGGAACAGAGUGCUGGUGGCGUGUUUUCCCGCUGUACCAGGAAGAGAAGAUCAGCGUUUCUAAAACGUCCUCAUUCAGGGUGAAGUGGAAAUAUUCCAGCGCUGGGGAGUCAGUUCCAGACAAAACUCAGCAGAUAAUCUCAGCGCUUGCACCACGACUGCUAAUCCUGCACGCAAGACAGACAGCACGAAACGAACAGGAUGGCAGACAGCACCAAUCGAUGGCGGACAGUCUUUCCCACUGAGCAAAUCCUUCUCAACGCUGUGCUUCCAAGUGGCCAUUAGGAAUCAAUUCAUCUUGAUGAAGAAGCCAAAACUCAUUUGCCGUUCCCAAUUCUUGAGCAUGACCUCCAGAAAUUCCUGAAAUCAUUGAAAAUGACUCAGAGUAUUUCCCUCAGGGAGUCUGAUCCUGCUGACUCUUAAUUC
Molecule: long non-coding RNA, 597 nt
Organism: Bos taurus (domestic cattle)
Lineage: Eukaryota; Metazoa; Chordata; Mammalia; Artiodactyla; Bovidae
Source: Ensembl